UCCCCUCUCUGGGCACAGGGACAAGGUGACUGUCCCCUCUCUGGGCACAGGGACGAGGUGACUGUCCCCUCUCUGGGCACAGGGACCUCCCCCAGCCACAACCAGGGCUGCUGGCACGUCCGUGUUUGUUUUGGUGCGAAAUAAAAGCUGCUGGUAGCUGGAAUUUGGGGGUGGUGGAGCUGGGGGACCUCGUGCUGAGGUCUGGGGGUGCUCCUGUCCCUUCUGUGCCUGGAGAUGUCCCCAUCCAAGCCUCGCUCCUGAUCUGGUGAAGUCCAGGCCCUGCUCUCUGCUCUGAAAAGUCACUUUUAUUGUGCCAAGGGACAGGGGGAGGAACGAUUGUAAACAGGGAUGUGAAAUAUACAGGUUAAGUUACUCGUUGUCUUAUUAACAAAAUAAAGCUCUAUCUAUA
Molecule: long non-coding RNA, 409 nt
Organism: Poecile atricapillus (Black-capped chickadee)
Lineage: Eukaryota; Metazoa; Chordata; Aves; Passeriformes; Paridae
Exons: 2
Source: RefSeq, a predicted model, not a curated record